UACACAUAUAGAGAGAUUGAGUGAAAAUAUUUUUUUUUAAAUGGUUGUGGUGAACAAAACGAAUCUCUUAUUGCUUCUUCUCUCUCUAUGUCUCACCCUCGACCUCUCCUCCGCACAACUCCGCCGUAACUUCUACGCCGGAAGUUGUCCUAACGUCGAACAAAUCGUUAGAAACGCCGUACAGAAAAAAGUCCAACAAACUUUCACCACCAUUCCCGCCACUCUACGCCUCUAUUUCCAUGAUUGUUUCGUCAAUGUAAAACAUAUUUUUUAUUGAUAUUAUUUUCUUGCGUAAAAUUAUCCAUUAUUUGGUCUAAAUAAUUGAUUAAUAUUCAUAGGGGUGUGAUGCAUCAGUGAUGAUAGCGUCAACAAAUAAUAAUAAGGCGGAGAAGGAUCAUGAGGAAAAUUUAUCGUUGGCCGGAGAUGGAUUCGACACCGUCAUUAAAGCUAAAGAAGCUCUCGAUGCCGUCCCAAAUUGUCGUAACAAAGUUUCAUGCGCUGAUA
This 504-nucleotide small RNA is filed under the name Arabidopsis thaliana (thale cress). RNAcentral's name for it is "ATSL237520". The record is from RNAcentral. Lineage: Eukaryota; Viridiplantae; Streptophyta; Magnoliopsida; Brassicales; Brassicaceae.